AUGGAUAGGGGUUCUGAGAGGAAGGUCCCCCACAUUGGUACUGAGACACGGACCAAACUCCUACGGGAGGCAGCAGUGAGGAAUAUGGGUCAAUUGGCGUAAGCCUGAACCAGCCAAGUCGCGUGAGGGAUGAAGGUUCUAUGGAUCGUAAACCUCUUUUAUAAGGGAAUAAAGUGCGGGACGUGUCCCGUUUUGUAUGUACCUUAUGAAUAAGGAUCGGCUAACUCCGUGCCAGCAGCCGCGGUAAUACGGAGGAUUCGAGCGUUAUCCGGAUUUAUUGGGUUUAAAGGGUGCGUAGGCGGCCUUUUAAGUCAGCGGUGAAAGUCUGUGGCUCAACCAUAGAAUUGCCGUUGAAACUGGGGGGCUUGAGUAUGUUUGAGGCAGGCGGAAUGCGUGGUGUAGCGGUGAAAUGCUUAGAUAUCACGCAGAACCCCGAUUGCGAAGGCAGCCUGCCAAGCCAUGACUGACGCUGAUGCACGAAAGCGUGGGGAUCAAACAGGAUUAGAUACCCUGGUAGUCCACGCAGUAAACGAUGAUCACUAGCUGUUUGCGAUACAGUGUAAGCGGCACAGCGAAAGCGUUAAGUGAUCCACCUGGGGAGUAC
RNAcentral lists this ribosomal RNA (604 nucleotides) under uncultured bacterium. RNAcentral's name for it is "bacterial SSU rRNA". It matches the Rfam family "Bacterial small subunit ribosomal RNA", at positions 279 to 883 of the family's 1533-position model. The record is from RNAcentral.